ACAGUAAACGAUGAAUACUCGCUGUUUGCGAUACACGGUAAGCGGCCAAGCGAAAGCGUUAAGUAUUCCACCUGGGGAGUACGCCGGCAACGGUGAAACUCAAAGGAAUUGACGGGGGCCCGCACAAGCGGAGGAACAUGUGGUUUAAUUCGAUGAUACGCGAGGAACCUUACCCGGGCUUAAAUUGCGCUGGCUUUUACCGGAAACGGUAUUUUCUUCGGACCAGCGUGAAGGUGCUGCAUGGUUGUCGUCAGCUCGUGCCGUGAGGUGUCGGCUUAAGUGCCAUAACGAGCGCAACCCUUAUCUUUAGUUACUAACAGUUUUGCUGAGGACUCUAAAGAGACUGCCGUCGUAAGAUGCGAGGAAGGUGGGGAUGACGUCAAAUCAGCACGGCCCUUACGUCCGGGGCUACACACGUGUUACAAUGGGGAGCACAGCAGGUUGCUACACGGCGACGUGAUGCCAAUCCGUAAAACUCCUCUCAGUUCGGAUCGAAGUCUGCAACCCGACUUCGUGAAGCUGGAUUCGCUAGUAAUCGCGCAUCAGCCACGGCGCGGUGAAUAC
RNAcentral lists this ribosomal RNA (564 nucleotides) under Bacteroides denticanium. RNAcentral's name for it is "bacterial SSU rRNA". It matches the Rfam family "Bacterial small subunit ribosomal RNA", at positions 799 to 1369 of the family's 1533-position model. The record is from RNAcentral. Lineage: Bacteria; Pseudomonadati; Bacteroidota; Bacteroidia; Bacteroidales; Bacteroidaceae.